Molecule: small nuclear RNA, 104 nt
Filed under: Octodon degus (degu)
Lineage: Eukaryota; Metazoa; Chordata; Mammalia; Rodentia; Octodontidae
Source: RNAcentral
AUGCUCACUUCGGCAGCACAUAUACUAAAAUUGGAACGAUACAGAGAUUAGCUUGGCCCCUGUACAAGGAUGACACACAAAUUCGUGAAGCGUUCCAUAUUUUU